This 148-nucleotide non-coding RNA is filed under the name Homo sapiens (human). Lineage: Eukaryota; Metazoa; Chordata; Mammalia; Primates; Hominidae. The record is from Rfam by way of RNAcentral.
GCCGGGCAUGGUGAUGCAUGCCUGUAAUCCCAGCUACUUGGGAGGCUGAGGCAGGAGAAUCGCUUGAACCCAGGAGGAGGAGGUUUCAGUGAGCUGACAUCUCGCCACUGCACUCCAGCCUGGGUAAUAGACCAAGACUCUGUCUCAA